GUUAAAGCCGACAAGGCAGAUGCGUGAACCUGCAAGGUGUUGUAGCUCAGACCCUUCUCGAGGCCGGAUUGAAGAAAGUCUAAGAUAUUCCCUGUGGGGGCCGGAUUGAAGAAAGUCUAAGAUAUUCCCUGUGGAACAACACUGGAUCGAGACAUCCUUCGAGGAAGCCCAGGAAGAGAAAACAUCCCAGAUUCUAUAGUAUGCAUUAGAAGUGGAACGCUUCCUAGCCCUGAGUAGGGUGUCUACCACCAUAUGAGAGAAGCCCUUAUUCAACAGCCUUUCCCUUUCAACCUCCAUGCCAUCAGGUUUAGGGAGGACUGG
Non-coding RNA from Pelobates cultripes (western spadefoot toad), 321 nucleotides. Lineage: Eukaryota; Metazoa; Chordata; Amphibia; Anura; Pelobatidae. The record is from the annotation of a GenBank genome assembly.